Molecule: ribosomal RNA, 440 nt
Filed under: uncultured bacterium
Lineage: Bacteria
Description: partial 16S ribosomal RNA
Rfam family: Bacterial small subunit ribosomal RNA
Source: RNAcentral
CCUACGGGCGGCAGCAGUAGGGAAUAUUGCUCAAUGGGGGAAACCCUGAAGCAGCAACGCCGCGUGAAGGAUGAAGGUUUUCGGAUUGUAAACCCCUUUUGUUAGAGAAGAUAAUGACGGUAUCUAACGAGUACGCACCGUCUAACUACGUUCCAGCAGCCGCGGUAAUACGUAGGGUGCAAGCGUUACUCGGAAGCACUGGGCGUAAAGAGCGCGUAGGCGGGUUAGCAAGUCAGAUGUGAAAUGCUAUGGCUUAACCAUAGAACUGCAUUUGAAACUGUUAUUCUAGAGUAUGGGAGAGGUAGGUGGAAUGCUUGGUGUAGGGGUAAAAUCCGUAGAGAUAAAGAGGAAUACUGAUUGCGAAGGCGACCUGCUAGAACAUAACUGACGCUGAUGCGCGAAAGCGUGGGGAGCAAACAGGAUUAGAUACCCUGGUAGUC